This 162-nucleotide non-coding RNA is filed under the name uncultured Blautia sp. Its description in RNAcentral is "Lysine riboswitch". It matches the Rfam family "Lysine riboswitch aptamer". From Rfam's summary of the family: Riboswitches are metabolite binding domains within certain messenger RNAs that serve as precision sensors for their corresponding targets. Allosteric rearrangement of mRNA structure is mediated by ligand binding, and this results in modulation of gene expression. The record is from RNAcentral. Lineage: Bacteria; Bacillati; Bacillota; Clostridia; Lachnospirales; Lachnospiraceae.
AAUGAUAGAGGAGCGGAAUUCAUCAGUAGUCCGGGAGACAUGGUAUGACACCCAUCCGGAGAAAGGGGAAACCGCCGAAGGAAUCUGACAAGUCAGGAGGUGGAUUCCUGGGACGUCGCAGAAUAUGCGCCGUACUGUCACCUGGGUGAAGCGCUAUCGGAU